CCACCCUUACUUUUAAUAAUUUACUUUAAACCCUCAAGUUAUUAUAAAUACACUUUAACCCACUUUUAAUAUUAUAAAUACCCCUCUAUCCCUUAUUAUUUCUUACAAAAUUAUAUAUUCUCUCAUCUAUUUUUUAUAUUCUUUCAAGUCUCAACUCUCAAUCUUAAGUCUCAAAUCUCAAUAUUUUAUUUCAUUUAAGUCUCAUAUUAUAUCAUAAUACAUAUAUUUCAAUUCUAAGUUUUCAUAUUAUAUAUCAUAAUAUAUAUAUCUAAGUUUUCAUAUUAUAUUUGCUAUCAAAUAUUGGAGUUCCAAAUUACAAGUUACAA
This 326-nucleotide long non-coding RNA is filed under the name Solanum tuberosum (potato). RNAcentral's name for it is "long non-coding RNA (STUB_LNC006882)". Lineage: Eukaryota; Viridiplantae; Streptophyta; Magnoliopsida; Solanales; Solanaceae. The record is from RNAcentral.